UAUGUGAGCCUUGUACUUCCCC
This 22-nucleotide non-coding RNA is filed under the name Arabidopsis thaliana (thale cress). Lineage: Eukaryota; Viridiplantae; Streptophyta; Magnoliopsida; Brassicales; Brassicaceae. The record is from RNAcentral.